CCAAAGGCUCUUUUAAGAGCCACCCAUUUAGUCUCAAAAAGAGCUG
Molecule: non-coding RNA, 46 nt
Organism: Leptosomus discolor (cuckoo roller)
Lineage: Eukaryota; Metazoa; Chordata; Aves; Leptosomiformes; Leptosomidae
Source: Rfam